UUUUUUUUUUUUUUUUUUUUUUUUGCCUUUUUUCGGUCUGUUGCUUUUUUUAUCCUAUUCUCACCAUCCCAUCGCCUCCUUCUCCCUUAUUCCUUAGUACACAUCUACUUCUUGUCUUUAUUAUUAACAAUCUGCCUUCCUCCCAAAACUCCACCUCCCUCCAUGUCUGCCUAUUUGUUCCCGGUGUUUUACAUUGUCGUCUUUCUUUUCUCAACUGUAUCACAAUCAAUGCUUGCUGCCCGACUCUUCUUCCCUCUCUGUCCCUCCCGCUCUCAUUUCUUUGUCUGUUUAAUUCAAUUCGUCGGACUGAAUUUCUGAUUGAUUUAGAAGAUUAAAAAAAAAAAUGGUGACCGUGAAAGCAGGGACUAGACCAUCAUGGGUGGGGCUUGAGGCAGCUGCUUGGUUGCAAAUAGCAUCCGGGAAUGCAUCCACUUUUCCUCUCUACUCCCACUCACUCAAAUCAGUUCUGGGAUUUAACCAGCAUGCUUGGGGUGGCUAAUGAUAUUGGGGAAAACAUGGGUUUGCUUCCAGGCCAUGUUUACAAGAAGUUUCCACCUUUGGUCAUUCUCCCUAUUGGCGCUUUUGCAUGUUUCUUCGGUUUUGGGGUUCUCUGGCUUGCUCUGUCCAGGACUAUUCCUUCGUUUCCUCAUUGACUGGUAACAUUCGUUUCCUGGUUUUUCUUGGGAAAAAAUUGCUCAUCUUAAUUUGAUUGCCUCCUUUUUAUUUGGAUAACUCUUUCCCUGUAAAGAUAUAGUCUUUAUUUUGAAUGGUUGUGGUAUAAUUUUGCUGACAUAUCCAUCAUGUAUGCCUUAUCAUGGACUACCUUCACAGUUUUGAUCUUUGAUGAUAAUGCAGUCGAGAGAGUCUUUCCAUGGUCUUGUAUCUUCAAAGUUUAUUCUGAUUGUCCUGCUUGUACCUAGCAUCUGCAGUAUGGUUUUGUCUACAAACUAAAUUCGCUUUUCUCUUGAAGUUCUUCAUCACACAUGUUCCAAACUUUUAUUUAAUUAAAGCACACUCUACAUUCCUGCUAAACAUGACUGCAUUUCGAUGAAAUUAAGCAUGCACCAAGUACAUUAUAAAUACCCAACAUCUAUUAUUGCUGCUACCUUUUCCCGCAUAAUCAGAGAUUAAUCGUUAACUAAUUUCAUAUCAAUGGCCUGUUAUGGCAUAAAACUCGAGUCCGCUCCCCCUUUAUUCUCAGCGUACACCAACUUUAUACCAUGUAUCACACUUCCAUUGUCCUGUCCAGAAUUGUUGCGUUAAUCCUUCCAAUUUUCAUUUUCAUGCAGACAAUUGAAUAAACGAUAUAGAAACAAUUCAACAAUGUCAAAUUAAUGCUUGUUGUAAAUUUAAAAAUGCCACAAAUAAUCAAUCCUCCACAGAAUAAUAGAAAAUAUUAAUAGUGUUUACUCAUUGUUUAAUACUUUUAAAUCUCCCAUUUACUUCUCCCAACACUCCAUCCCAUUUGUACAUGAAGCAGAAUCAUACUGAUGCACUUCAAUUUUUUUCGCCUCAAUUGUUUUCUUUUCGAUCUUUUUCAUAGCACCACCAUGUUAGAUGCACACCUUUAUUUGCUCACGCUUUCUUAUGAUGCUGCCUAUUUAAAAGUUUAAUCAUUUUAUAACGAAAUAACUUAAAUGCAAUUCAUCCAAAUCAUGAUAUCUCCACCUAUGAAUUUGGGCAUUUUCCGGGCAACAUGAAAUUAACACCGCGCAACGCGCGGUGAUCCCCUCCUAGUACUUAUAUACUUGUGUCCGUCAGCCUGUGUAUCUUAAUUAGGAGCCUAUACACAUUACAAUCCACCUAAAUCAAGUGGACAAUAAAUUUAGGAGAGGGUUGGCUUCGAUGGUAAAAUGGAAAAAAUUGUAAAUAAGAAAUUUUGGAUUUAAAUAAUAAUUUAAAAAAAAAGAACAAUAAAUUCCUCUAUUUAUAGCUAAAUAAUUAAUGCAACCUUAGCACAUUUAAUUUGUUGAAGAUCCAAUUAGUCAUUCUCAGUUUCAUGGUUGAUGUUCCUCAAUGUUCACAUGCAACACCAAUUGUAUAUAUGGUAGAAUUUAAACCAUCAAAUAUCUUCAUUACAAUUUUAUCAUCCGUUUAAAGGACAACAAUUAUUUAAUUACCGAUCUAUUAGUCAAGGAUAGAAUUUAUGAUGGCUUGGAGUUGAGUCUCCAAUGCUGAUUUACUUGAAGAAAGCUGACGUUUUAUAUUAUAGUGCUUGCGCAAAAAUAAAAGGACGGAUAAUUGGAGAAAAAUAAACAAAAAAGCCUUAUACAAGCUAUUGUCAUAUAAUCUGACGCGGCCAGGCUUCGUGACCGGGAAUGUUAGAAAAUUUGUACAAGGAAAGAUAUAUAACAUUACCAUACGUCUGGCUACUUUGUAAUGUAAAGUCGUGGAGCUAAUAAUUUACAUCAUUUCAGUGGCGCCGCUUAAACCAAAAAAAAAAGGGUUCGUGUUUACAUAGAAAGACUGCAAUAUUUUAGUUUCAAUGUUUCACACGAAUGAUAGACAUGCCACUCAUUAUCAGAAAAUCAUAUAGUAACAUGUAAUUAGUUUCUUCCAUACUCCAAACUUCUUGUGGCAAUUUUUUGCUCUUCUUUUUCUCGUGAGUAGUACAGAUAAAGAGUUCAAAUUUGUAACCAAACAUCACCGUUUUACUAUUAUAAUUAUUAUUUUUUUUUUCAAAGUUGUAGGUCAGAUACCUUAAUCGAUAAGAAAUGCAAAAUGGAAUCAAGACGUGCAAGCAGUGGUCGCAAAUGCAUUAGUUGAUCUGGCCGCAGCAAUUUGAUACAUUCUUAAUAUUUGACCAAACAUCUGAUGAAAUGACACAUUCUUAAGGGGAUUCCAAGAGCAGAAAGAUCUGCGACAAUUAAUUGGUUUUAAGUGAAACUAUAAAAGACUAUAGAUUCAAAACUUUUGGAAAUUAUUAUGCACCCAAAAUAAUCAUUUGGAACAUGCAAAAAGCUCAUUUUGUUAAUCAAACUUGACCCAAUUUGAUAUUUGAAGACUACUCAAAUUGUGACUCUAAUUAAGACCAAAAUUUUCUAGAUCUCGCAGAAGGGUUUAUAUAUAUAAGGGAGAUUCAAUCCCAGAGCUGAGUCGUCAAUGGAUUUUCGUGCUCAAAUGCAAGUGUGUGUGUGUGUAUAUAUAUAUAGUACAUGGAUGGAUCAACCAGUUGUUACUUUAUGAUGGUCCGAUUGAGAUCAUGGGAAAAAAAUUCAUAAAGGAGUCUCGAAGAUUGAAUUUCGGGAAUUACAUGCAUACAAGGGUGAAAAGUUCAGCGCUUUUAGACACAUAUAUCAAUUAAGAUGUGAAAAAGUAUACCACUUAAAUAUCAUCCUUUAUUGCAUAAUGGAGAAUCCAUCUGACUGCUAAACACUAAUUAGUUGUUCCGAGAUCGUGAGUGGGGUCAUCUUAAGCCACAACGCCCAACUCCCAACUCCAGGAUAUGGAGAAUGUUAUAUCAUGGGAUAUCAACAUGUCACACUGUCGUGUGUACGUUCUUUAAUUAAUUAUGCAAUAGAUUAAACAAAAAAAAAAAGCUAGUCCUCUCUUAUAUGUCUAAUCGCUUUUAUUAUUAUUAUUAUUUUUUUUCCUCUCUUUCCGGACACUGUUACAUAAUCUCUCAAGAAGCACAAAGACGUGACUGUUGUUGACGUUGGUGAAUCCUUGUUCAGCCGAAGAAACGGUUUCCAACCCAGAUGUCCAUCAUCUUGCUGGAUUACACCCCAAAUCCUUGCACCUCGCAGUUCAGUAACAACUGGUUGGCACUUGGAACUCACAUUCACUGAACUAAAACUAUAACCAGAAACCCUAAAUCCUCUCAAUUCCAUAAAUGGCUGCAUUCGUCCUCGUCUUCAAACCAACUUUUACGCCCCAAAUCUGUCCCAUAUUACAUCCGACAAACAUUCAUCACAACUCUUCCAAUAAACCUGAGAUACUCUACAAAUUGAUAAUGUCAAGCUCGAGCAGCGGCACUAGCAGUGGUAACAGUGGCAGCAGCACUUCACAGGCUCCUCUGCCUGGGAGACGCCCGAUGUACCGUGGGGUGAGGCGUAGAAAGAGCAGUGGGAAGUGGGUAUCGGAGAUUCGGGAGCCAAGAACACCUAAUAGAAUUUGGCUUGGUACGUUUCCUACCCCUGAAAUGGCGGCGGCGGCCUAUGAUGUGGCUGCACUUGCUCUCAAGGGUCCCGAGGCUGAGCUCAACUUUCCUAAUUCAGCUUCUUCGUUGCCUGCCCCUGCCUCUGCUUCUCCACGAGACAUUCAGGCUGCUGCAGCUAGUGCGGCCGCGGCUGCUGGUGCAGCAAUGGACGCUCUAGCUGGUAAUGCUGCUGCCCUCCAUGCAAUGAACCACACUCUAGCCGAUAAAACUGAAAACCUCAUUAGUCCAACACCACCUGAUCAUCAAAAGGAUCAUGAGUUUAUUGAUGAGGACUUAAUCUUUGAUAUGCCAAAUGUUCUAACCAACAUGGCCGAAGGAAUGCUUCUAAGCCCGCCACGCCUUGACAUUGCUGGUGAUGAAACUUCCACUGAAAGCAUGGGUGCCCACGAUCUCUGGAAUCAUCCCUAAUCCCGCCACCGUUCCUAUUGGUCAUUGAACUAUUCUCUUAAUCAGUAUUCACCAGUUAUAAGAAGUUAACUAAUCGUGCAUAACAGGAUGUUGAUAGGACCAAUAGGAAUUUCGUUCCAGUUCACGACCGAGUGCCUUGCAUUUCUUUUUCAGUACUUACGUGUAAAGGACUAUAUAUGGUUUAGAGUGCUGCUGCUUUUUAUCUUCUCCAUUUUCCUGGAAAUGGUGCUUAUAAUCCUCCUUGAUGAAGGUAAUCAUCCAGCAAAAUGUGAUUGCCUAUCCCAAUCCUCAACACCAAUGUAUUAAUUUUUAAGAAAAGCAACUUAACGGAUUGUCGCUUUGACUUCGUCCGCCUGGAAAUAGACUUGUCCAUAUUGGCCAUUGUGAUGCCAUGGAGGAAAGGAUUAUCAUAAGCCAGCAACCAUAAUCCAGAUUUCUCGAUCAUGUACAUGCAUGAAAUAAGAAUCUCAAUGUAUUUUUCAGUGGAAAUCCCACUCACCUUCUUUCUUCGUGAGUGUAAUCAAGAUAAGCUCAAUCAUGAUUUCCAAGUUGCAAAAAGGGACAGAAAAUCAAUGGGCUUAUGCUUAUAGAACCGGAAGAACACAGACAUCUGCCUUACUUUUACCGUUGCCGUCAUGUGGAAGACUGGAGAGGUUGGAGAUAGCUAGUUAGAGAAGGACCAUUUGCAAAGAUGAGCAGGAAAAGAAUAGCAGUUUAAUUAAGUUUUGGAAGGAACAGGAUGAACUCAGAAAGUGAAGAAACUAAUUAAUAAAACGGCUGAAGUACAACAUAACAAUCUCAUCUUUAUUGGGUGGUUUAGAACAUAAAAUAUGAGGUUUCAAAUCAGAAGAUAAUUGUUUGGUUGAGAACAGCAAUCAAGUUUGGAAGUUUUGUCAAUCGGAAUCAUUACAAAGUUGAUUUUUAGGGUUUCCUCCAACCAACCGAAUGACGCUGCAGUGCUUCGAACCCUUUAUUAAUUCUAUUAUUUGAAACAGGGGAAAGAAUGGCAUUUUUAAUACGUAGAUACUACUGUUUACGCUCCUUUUUUUUAAUAAAAAAAUAAAUAAAAGAUUAUGAAUCCAAACUCCUUACUUACAAUUUAUCUUACUUUACCGCUCUGUCCUCCCACUGCCUUGUUUAAUUAGCUAGUACUUCUUCCGUCCCACUUUGAUAGUUCUGAUUCUUUUUUCACAUAGUUUAAGAAAAAGUAGUUAACUUUGUUGGAAUAAUCAAUUUAGAUAGAUAUUUUUCUAAAAUACUCUCACAUUAAUUAGAGUACAACUUUAUAGAAACUUGAAUUGAUGGUAAAAAAAGAAUAAACUCUCAUUAAAUGGAGUAGGUUUAUAGUAAUAACAACUUACAUUGAAUAAAGGUAUUUUAGAAAAAUUAAAAUACAACUACAUUCUUCAAUUGGAAUGUGGAUUACAAUUUGGACAGAUAAAAAAGGAAAAGAUGACUAUCAAAGUGGGUCGGAGGGAGUAUUACAACACAAGCAUGGCCCUAUCCUACAGUUGGUUGACGUGUCAUUCUCUGCUGACUUGGCAAAGCUAAGUGCCAUCAAGAUGCUGACACUUGGCCUGCCUUUUGUUAAAGUUCCCCAUUCCAAGCCCGACCUAUGUUCCUCCUAUACCCCUACGGUGGGUGCAAGACCGCUAGCAAGCUAUGGACAUAGGGCCAUGCAGCAUGAGAAAACGGAACAAUCCUCGCUAACCUCUCUAAAUGGUGGUCUUACAUUCUUAUUCCUACCAAUUCAAACCAUUCAUUUUACUUUUACCCUAUUUAUCACACACACACAAGGUCCCUAUUGUAAUUUGAAGCAGCCCAUCUGUUUAGUUUAAUUGCUCAUCAGUCAUAACAAAACAAUUUAAGCUGCAGUUUCUUUAUAUAUAUAUAUAUUUUUUUUUUUUUCUGACGAAGUGAGUAUUCGGACCUUUGGCUCGACUAAUCCCACUCCGGUCCGGGAGAGGAGACCCCACGCCACUCCAAGCACGGUCGCAAGGGAGCUCGAAUUCUGGUUGUCCAGGUAAAUUUACCAUACCCUAAAGAGGGGAAGCUGAUUGCUCGAACUAGUCUUGGGGGCCGGUUUCUUUAUACUCAUACAGUUGAAUGAGUGUUAGUUAUUAGGUGAAUUCUGUCCAUGUUGGCUGUGAUGAAGAGCUAGUCAUACUCCAGUUGCACUUAUACGUCCUAAACGGCUCCGGGUGACUAAUGCAUUAUUCGCCUAGACCAACCGUAUCUUCUUAUGGUAUAUAAACUGGAUUAAUUGCGUGAAAGGAAAUCCAGAUCAAUUAGUUUGGGAAUUAUGUGCUAAGACAUUAAUUCUUGCAUGUAGUAGGGCACGGAAGAAUGUGUAAUUAAGCAACUGAGAGAGAGAAGCCGCUUUAACAAAUUAAUAGCGGUAUAUCCGCUAUUGUUAUAUAUAGUCCACGAAAUUGAUUUGAGACGAUUGGUAAUAUAAAAUUUAUAUAUGUUGGCUUUGUAGAGAAUUAGUGACAAGAGCCAAGACCUAGGCUCACUGUGGGGGCAAGAUUGUACAUUUAAAAUAAUAUUUUUUUUGAAUUUUUAUUCUACUUCCUAUAAUUUUUCCUGUUCAAGUAGUAAUUAAAUAUAUCUUAAUUAAUAGCUUCGAAACAAUUGGACCAUAGAAGAGAUGCUUAAAAGAAAAAGAAAUCGGUUGUUUAGAGAUGAUUAUUUUUUAAAUUACAGGGGAAGUAAUAUUGAGAGGUAAGGGUAUUUUUUAAAAUUGAGGAGAAAAAUCUAAAAUUUUAUAAAAAUUUUCAAGCCAAUUUUGUGAUUUCUACAAAGUUGGGGGAUUUGGCUAUCCUCACAUCAAGGUGGCUCCGCCGCUGUAGAGCGCACUCUUAAUUUUCAUCCUCGUGAUUUCACAAAAGCAUAAACGUUUGAACAGCAGUGUCAACGUAAAAGGAAUUUUACUCAAGUGCCUUACCAUAAAAUGGCAUGUCAUUACUAAGUUUUGAAACCUAUUGUACCCUUUGACUUCUGCAUAUAUAAAUGAUUUUUUUUUUAAAAAAAAAAAAACAAAGCCUUCAUGAAGUGAUUAACAAGGUAAUUGGAACCAUAACUAUAGUUAUCCUUACACCGGGAAUAAUAUGUACAACCAAUUAUUACUAUUAGGCUAGAAGAAUUUUCCCUUUUUUCUUAAAGAGGAUCCACACUGAGACUCACCUACACCUUAUGAUAAAUGUUCCUGGCAUAAUACUAUAUUUUAACAACGAUACGUUAGUAGUUUAACAGGUAAUCUCUUGCCUGGGGACAUCCGGUCCAUUGAAGCUGUUGAUAUGUAGGUGUGGAAAAAGGCUCUGCAUCAUUUAAGAAAAAUGAUAUCAAAAAAAUUGAAACUAUAAUCGAAAGGCUACGACAGCUACAGGUUGGGAAGACUCACAAACGACAUGUCACACAUUGUGACUCGAUUGCACAGAGGACAAAAAAAUUUGAGCUUUAGACCUAACAAAAGCUAAAACCAAAAAAAAAAAGAAAAGAAAAGAAAAAGAUUUACCCUCUGCAUCCUUAAGAAACUUCAUAAAAAAUCAAUUCACAAGAAUGGCUGCCGAAUUUGACGAAUCCGCUGCACGUUGUUAGGGUUGGAGAAAUCAUGGAAAAGGGGGUUUAGUGCAGCGUACGCCCGGAGGGACCGCUCUGGUAGAAACCAGAAAAAUACGCCCAUUAAAUUUUGUAAAUAGUCAGGUAUGUGAUAAUUAAGGAUAAGAGCGAUGACUUAAGCUCCCGCGUCAGCCUAGUUAUCAACUUUCCUGCUAGUGCUAAUUAUUUUUGUAUUCCAAUCCAUGCUAUCCUUAUUCAGGCAAGUUGAUGGUACGGGCUACCAAAUUGGUCUUAGUCAGUGCCGCCUUUAGCACUCAAAUCUGAACAGCGUGCACGCGAAUAAAUGUUGGUCUCUUCCGGUGCUAAUACAAGUUGACUCAAUUGAUAAUAACAGAUCAAUUCGUUACGAAAAAUUACGUGUUUAAAAUCUGUUAUCGAUCAAUUCGUCACGAAAGAUUGCGUGUUUGAAAUCCAUUAUCGACAUGAGAAUUGUGUUAAGGAACCAUUUGCAAGCACCUCACGUUUAAACGAUGUGGUAAUCAGAGCCGAAUUCAUUCAAUUUUUUUUCUCUUAACCUAAAAAAAUAAAGGGUUAAAUACCAAAAAUUCCCCUGUGGUCUGCCUAAUAUUCACUUUACCUCCUUAUGGUUUAAAAACCUACAAUUUGACUCCCUGUCGUUUCAACUAAAGUGUAUUUAACGGAAUUUCUGUUAGAUUUUCACUUUAGGUGAAACGACAGGGAGUUAAAUUGUAUAUUUUCAAACCAUAUGGAGGUAAAGUGUACAUUUGACAAACCACAGGAGGGUUUUUGGUACUUAACGCAAAAUUCUUAUAGAGGGGCAAUUUUGACAUUUUUCUUUCAGACGUUAGUUUAGAUGUUUUUCGUUAGACUUUUACUUUAGUUGAAACGACAGGGAGUCAAAUUGUAGGUUUUCAAAUCAUAGAGAAGUAAAGUGAACAUUAGACAAAUCACACGAGAGUUUUUGGUAUUUAACCCAAAAAUAAAUUGGUCUUAGUCAGUGCCGCCUUUAGCACCCAAUCAAUCUGAACAGAGUAGACACAGAAAGACAGCUGGAACAAUGACAUAGGACAAGUGGAUCCGAUUUGGGUCCUGCUUAACAAAGCCCAGCAAUAGGAUCAAAUAUGCCGAUUGCAGCUCCUCUCUCUCAAGCUAUUGGACUCAUAGUUCAUCAAAUGCAAAUGCGGCUUUUCUCCAAAGAUUAAAAAGUCUUCGAUGUGCACCCUUCACAAUAUGCAGACCGUGGAAUAAAAAUUUUUUAAUAAGUACUGUACGAUUUUAUUUUUAAGAGAUCAAAAAAAAAAAAAAAAAAAAACUGUAAGAACAGACUAGCCGGACAGUGGAUUACACUAUUGCACCGUAGCCCCUACCAUUAAGAUAACGAUUAGACUGGAUGGGGGAGCAGACUCUAACAUUGGCCAAUAAUCUUCAUGGUGGAAACCGGAAAUUUACUUUAAGCAUUAUGUUUUUUACUGCUAAAGAUGAUGGCUAGCUACAAUUUUUUUAUUACUUAUUAUUCUGAGCAUGAUCGCAAGAGUUAGCAGCGACGUAUAAGUAACUUAUGUAUAUCAAUGAGAAAAACAGUGACUAAUGAUGUCUGGUCAGAAUUAUAUUAUAUGAGUAUGCCUCGUAUUGCUUACAGAUUAUGAUUAGCAUCUUUCUUAUCAUCAGCGAAUUAUCUCGUCAUUAUAUAGCAGCAAAGUAAUCCUUUUCCAAAUUAUUGCUUUUCUCAUCUUGUAUGUGAUACUCAAUUUUUGGCACCAGUAGUUAUAAUUUACGAGUUGUUCGAUGGGAAGAUCCCAUGCUCCUCUUCCCCAACUCUUAGGGUGACAGAGAGUCAACAAUAGGAUGCAUUCAUCAGCCACAGUUCUCUAUAAAAUCCUUUGUUUUGUUACACUGAUUUUAGAUGAUUUUUUUUUUGAAAAAUUUUUAAUGUAUUAUACUAUUGAAAAGAUUACAUAUGAAAUAAAAAAAUUUAGUUGAAAAUCAUGCUGUAUAAGAGUUUUACGAAUAGAAAGGCUCUUUUACUUAGACCCAUUUUACAUAAACAUAUUUUCGAAAAACUUCAAACAUAUUUUUUACUCACCUCUUUCAGUAACCAUCUAUACAAGGCAAGAGUUAAGAAAAAAGGUUCCGUAAUCAAUCUUAAAAGUAAAUGACAAAUGGGAUCCUCCGUCCAAUAUUUUAUGUCCACUUCCCUGUCCAAUACAAAACUAUGUAGUUCCAUUUAUUAUAUCUGCUGAUGUGACACAUAAAAAUAAUUGGAUAUAAUAAGUGAAACUACGUAAUUUUGUAUUGGACAGAAAAAUAGACACAAAAUAUUGGACAGAGAAUCUCGUUUGCGUAAAUGAAGCAGUUGAUGCAACUAUCUCGAACAGGCUAGCUGCAAUGAAUAUCCAAUUGAAUUGUAUUAGCCCGUAUAGUUCUGUUUAAAUUGGACCAUCUACCACGUUAUCAUAUAAUGCCUAUUGUAAUUCUGGUCAGCUUGUCACACCAUAUGGCCCAAAAUAGGGGUAAUUUCUCAACAAUGGCGUUGCAAAUUUACAAUCCACAAUCCGUUUUAACUGAGGUAAAUACUAAAGACAGGAGUACCAAACAUGACUGCCAAACGACUGGAUCAAGAAAUCCUAUAAACUUUUGGCAUUCUGGCGCAAGGAACGUUUAACACUUUAGUACAGUUAAAGUGUUAAAGGUGGACCCUGUGGAUGUAGGAGCAGUAAUUUUUCCUUUCUCUAUUUAAAUUUUUUUCUUCCGAUGGGACAAAAGAAUUUCUGGAUUGACUAAUGCUUCGAACCCGCGUAUUAUUUGUCUGCCUGCUUUGAAGUUUGAUCAUCGAAGCUAUCGGUCAAAUACUGAAUAUGGAGAAUCAUAAAACGUACGACGCUCUUCAUUUUAUGAUUUUAUGCCCCGGGGCUACACAACAGCAUAAAAAGUGGAGGGAGUCGUGAUAAAAUAGCAAAGGAAAGAGUUUAUGGAAUGGCUUGUGGCACCUGAACAUUAAAUUUAAUAUUUAUGUUUGGAAGGCAUGCUCAGGAAUACUAGCGACUGGACUGAAUCUUCAUGAUAGGCUGGAAGGGGAAGCUUUGGGGUGCAGGAACUGUGGCUGUAGGGUGGAAUCAGAUAAACACCUGAUUCAUUGAUUGUGAUUUUGCUCUGGAAGUGUGGAGAAGUGUUGACCGGAAUCACAUUGUGAAUAUAUCAUCUUUUUUUUCCAAUUUUAAGGAGUGGUUUGCUUGGAUUUUACAUUUAAGAGGACAGGAAGUAGCAGAACUUGCUGCAGUUAUAACAUGGAUUAUCUGGAGAUCUCGAAAUGAAACAAUCUUUAAGGAAAAGACAGGGAAGCGACACAAGUUGGAGCAUAUGCAGUGGCACAUCUUUCAGGACUACAAGAAAAAGUGAUCAUCCCAAGCGGGUGGCACCUGAGGAAGGCUUCCUGAAGAUUAAUGCUGAUGGCGCUUUCUCAGAACGGGGAGCUAGAACUGAUGCAGUAGUGAGGAUCCAACCGGGGCAAAUAGAUGCGAUCAUGGCCGAAAGGAUUCAUGGUGUUUUCAAUGCAGAACAUUGUUAAGUGUUUGGCUUGCCUUCAAGCUUUGCGUUUUCCCACGGAUUUUGGUAUAUCACAUCUCAUUCUUGAAGGUGAUGCUCUAAGAAUAGUCCAGAGAAUCACGAGCACAGAUUCUGACCGUCUCUAAUUGGGUACUUGUUUAGUAGCAUCCGUUCUUUACUAAAAGAUUUUGAGUCUGUAAAAGUGUCUUAUGCCAAGAAAAACAAUAAUAAUAAUAUCCCAGCUCAUAUCGUGGCUAGAAUGGGUCUUCAUCUCUUGGGGGAAGCAAUGUUUGGUUUGUAAAUUUCCCCAAGGAUAUUGUGCCUGCUGCUGAAUUUAUGAUUUUCAACCCAAAAAAAAAAAAAAAAAAUUCUGCUACAUCCACCACAGGGAAGCAUAGUCUUGGGCCGCUUGAUGGUCGGGGCAAUUGUUAGGACACGCUUACUGGCUUCUGGAUCAGUUUAAGUCCAAUAAAAUUUCCAAAUUCCAGCCCACUCUGAUAAUUAAAAUGAUUCUAGCAGAAAAUGAGGCCUUUAGUAAUGGAGAAAGAUGGCCCAGACGCUUGUUAUGGAGAAAGAUGGUGUUUUAGGGAAACAUUUACAGUGCAGCGCUGUUAUUAAUUUAAUAAACAUAUUUGAGAUGAUGCAAGUUUCCAUAACACGACCAAGAAGAAUCAUGUUAUUCAUAUCUAUCUAAAACAUAUUCACAUUAACAAAAAAAAAUCAUGAUAUUCAUAUAAUUAUCCAUGACAUAAUCACAUUAAACCCAAACAAAAAAAAAAAUGCAAACCAAGAAGAAGACGAAGAAGACAAACUGGAUGCACGUGCUAAAUACUGUAUUUUCAAUAUGAUAGCUCUAUUUGGAUUAGCUGUUUUUGGGAGUGUUUUUGAAAAAUUUUGUUGUACCAGAGUUUUUAGAUUAUAUUUUAGGAUAUUUUCAGAAAAUAUUUUGAAAUAUUUAAGAGUAGAAGAGUUUUUAGAAUAUAUUUUGAGAUAUUUUUUAAAAUUUUUAAAAAAUUUAAACUAAUUUUUAAAUUAACUUUUAGAGUACUUUUUAAAAAUUUUUAUUAUAUUUGAAAAACACUCCCGUCAAAGGUAUAACAUGACAGUUUUUACUUUGAAUCUCUCUAGCCUUUCUUGCCGGAUUUGGGGCAGGGACGGUCAUACUGCACGGUUAAGGGACAAGAUUGGCCCUCAAAAUUUUGUGCGGCUGAGAUUCCACCAUAUAACUCGAUUUCCGUGCCAAGUAUGGGACCCACCACUAUCUGUUGUGAAAAUAUAUCCUGUGAAAAAAAGGUUACACGAUGUACAAAGAAAGUUACGGCCAAUUAAUAAUGACUACAAUUGGCACGGACGGUUGCACCGCCCUGCCCCGAGUCCUUUCUUGCCCCUCGUAUUCAGGAAGCCCCCAUAUUCUGAUUUUGGUAUGAUAGGUCAUCUCAGUCCCCUGGUUCCACUCGCAGAGGUAAAUUUCUCACGUAACUCGGAGAUGGCUUUUACUUUGGAUUAAUGCUUAAGCCUAUCGACGAUGAAGCCUUCCAAAUUAUGCUCCUUUUCCACCUCAGAAAAGAAUUUCAGUAGCAGUCAUCCCCCGCUCCUUGAAGUCAGCUUUCUCCAAACACUCUACAAGAAUUAGAAUUAGCUCAGUCGUUAUACUUUCUAAUACCGCCCUGAGAUUGUUGAGCUCACGAUUGGGUAGUACUAGUAGCCCAGCCGCUUUCAGCGGCCACAGGUUUUUUUGCUGGGUAGCAAAAUUUUCUGGGCUGCUGAAGGAACUCAAUCAACUAAUAAAAUCUUGAAGAUCAAAGCAACUGUUUUUCCUUAUAAAAGUAUCGCUCUGAUCUUCUGUUUGUUGAGAGUGGUGAGUGUCUGCUUUGAGGUUGUGAAGACGAAUGUCUAUAUUACGAAUUGGGAUGAGUUAUAUAUAUCGGAAUCACAGCAUUUGGGUUUUUAUACAUUCAUACAACCGGCUGCGUUGUGGAAUGAAAGUGGCCGCUCGUGAUGAUUUCAUUUCAUGUUGUGAAUUACAACCACCGCGGGGGCUUCUUUGAAAGCUUGCAACAUUGACCAUUGCGAUCGAGUAAGGGGCUCCAUUUUGAGAGCAGUUUUGUGAUGGUACAACUUUUUUGUGAAAAUUUCAAAGUGAGACUUUUUUGUGGAGCUGACGCACCUACUACUAAUUGAGUGGAACAAAAUUCAAUUGUCAAUGUAGGAGAAAAAGAGAAAAUGGCACUCACAUAAGGAGUUUCCUCUCAACCUUCGGGAAAUUUUCAAACUUAUUUAGUAGUUUUAGCAUUUGUUUUAUCAUAUGCUGCGGUCAUGCAGAUGAUACACAGAAGCAGAAAAGAUUAAAUUAUUAUUAUUGGUACUACAAGGCCUGAAUUGAUACAAGAAAGAAACCUGGAUGGGAUUUUUCAACAUGGAGGGGCAUUGAAUAUUGUGCAAGAAAGUACUUUCUCUCUUUCUUUUUCAGUGCGGAUGAACAUAGCCAAGGAUCGUGUAGAGGGUCUGAAGCACGGUCAAGACCAAAAGAACAGACGCAGCCAAAGCUGAGAUGAAUGACCAUGGAGUGUUGAAAUACGUGUACUUGAAGCUCGCCCACUGAACGUGCCAAUUGUUGUGGUAGUAUUGGUUCACUUGAUUGAACAGUCUGGCCAAGUAGCAUACGUCGAUGUCGAACGACACAUCCUUCCCCAUAUUAUUGAUGAAUUUGGCAAUUUCAGCAUCCGUCCCAAAAUAGUUCUCGAUUAUGUUCCGAUCGCACAGAAAUUGGACGUCCCUGGACGUAUUUAUCAGGCAAUCCAAGAAUGUGGCAUAAGUCGUCAUGUGUUUGGAACAACCCGCCUGACAUUGCUCGUAGGCGACGCAAUUCAACAGAAACGAGCACAUGAAAUCAUCCAAAGCAAUUCUUGGCAUCUCGAUUACCCCCCCGUGCCUGAAUUUUAUGGCCAAGAAGCUCUCUUCCUCGCUGGGUUUAAGGUCAAUUCCGGCGCGCCGGAGAUAUGAGAUGCAUUCGAUUACGCGAGUCUUCGGAAACUCGCUGGGCUUAGGUUCGCCGUGUUCCGGGGGGAUGAAGCUUGCGCGGAGAAAGUCCAGCAAAUGCUUGCCUUCGAGCUCGAGGCCGCUGUAUCUGGACAAAGCUGGCUCAGACCUUUGCAGCGCAUUGUUGAAGAAAUUCAGAGUCAUCCGGCCCAAAGACGGCCCUGAUCCUUCGUCAUCGGGCGCCAGGUUUGUCAGCUGAAACAAGCGCUUGAGGAUGAGAAAUGGAAUUUGAUUCUCGAGUCGCAAGAGGUCCCUUAGAAGGAAUGCAUACACCCACGACAUCGAGGUGAGCGGAUCAUCUGGAUCGGCCGGCACCAACCCUCCAAACUUUCGAAAGAGUUCCAGUAUGAAACAACCGUCAAGAACCAACAUCUCUAUGAAUUCAUCACUGCUGUACCCUAUAGUUUCGGAGUAACACUCCCUAGCCUCGGCUUCUAAGGGCUGCACGGCCCUCAAAUAGUCCUCCAACCCGAUGCCCUUUUCUUGCGUCCGCUUCAGAAGAGCGCCCAAGAAUCUCCAUUUGUGCUCUUCAAUCAUAGCUAGGUGGGGCAUGCCGUGGUGGUAAGGACCGAUAGAGACUAUGUAAGGCUGAUAGUGCUGGCCGUUGACAUCGUUAAGGCUUCGGGGUACUCUGAAGAUGCAACAUGAGCUCCGGCCGGCUGAUUUGCUCAGAAUUUGAGGAGCUGCAGAUAUCUUCUGUUGCAUCAAUGAUAACCGAUCUUUGUUUACUUCCCAUAUCUUAACGGCGUGAUGAUGAUGAUGAUUGUUUUCUUUUUCAACCCAAUUGCUGCCCAUCAAGAAAUACCUCUUAUCAUCUAUCGACAAGCAGAGACACCAAGUGAUUCAGAAGCAGGAGACGGAUUUGGAUUUGUAUUUGAAUGGGGCGGCCCGCCUUGCGAAUGUUUUACUAAUCAAAGUCAAGCAUUGAUUGGGCAGUUGUGCCUUUUUCCUUUUCUGUUGGGUAAGUGGUCCGACAUUGAUUGGCAGUUGUGCCUUGCCAAAAAAAACAAAAAAAAUUUCCCGAAACAUGUGCCUUGCCAUUUCAAUCAAUUGAUUUGGUUUGCUUGUACAAUUUGCAAACUUGCAUGUCGUUUGCAGGCUGGCUACAGAGGAGGAUUGGGGACCACUUCCUGCGAGGUGUCUUCAUUUCUUGAAUCAAUGACUAAUAUCUUAUGAGCAGUCCGUUUCUAAUUGGAUAGCAACAUGGAUUUCAAGGCCAUGUUCUAGACAUUUGUCAUGAUAUUUCUUUCUUUUUUUGGGGUGAAAAACUGUAGAGGAAUUAUAAAUUGAGUGUGUUUGGAUAGAAAAUCAUUUGAAAUAUUACUUGAAAUAAUUAUAAUAAUUUUUUUUUCUUUUAAUGUGAUAAUAUUAUGUAAGACCAAAAAAAAAAUAGUUAAAAUAUAAUAUUAAAAAAGCAAUUGUGUCCAAACACGAAAACUCUCUGCUUUCCACAGCUGAAAAUCGCGGACUGAAUUAUUCCACCGGCAGCCUUUGCGAGUCCAUCAAACAAGUGGAUUGGUCCAAAUGGUGCAGCCCAUUGUGUCUUGAAUCAUCUAAACAUCCAGAGGUUAGGUUACGGGCCUCUCGCUAGGAUUUGUAUCAACCACUUUCGCCGACCUUUAGGUACUAGAAUGCACAUGGAUAAUCCAUUACAAGAGCAGACUGGGUCCUGUGACAAAUUUACAUUUUCAACUGAUCCACAGUCCAUCUAUAGGACGUCUGUACUGUAGCCUUUUUAAUUUCGCACGACCGCAUAAAAGUUUUUCGAUGUUCUCUCCGCAAGAUUUGACAAACCAAAAAGUUAAUAAUCAACUUAUAUAUAAAGCCACCAAAAAAAAAAAAAAAAAAUAGAAAUAUGGAGCAUACGUGACGACUACUGAGCUGUGACAAUAGAAAAGCGUCUCUGAUAGUCUUCUUGUUGUUGUGUGUGUUUGGAGAUUUUUUGAAAAAAUUAUUUAAAAUAAUAUUAUUAUAACACAUUUUCUAAUGCGAUGUAUAUGAAAUAAAAAUAUAAUUAAAAAUAUUAAAAAUGUGUUUGUGUUAGGAGGGAAAAAAAAAAUUGGAUAUACAAAAGCUUUCUGGACUUUUCUAAGAAGAAACAUGCUAUACAACUCGAUUGAUCUCUUCUCCUUAUUGUUGUCUACGGAUUUUCCCUAUUCGGGAUAAUUUUAACUGGCAGCUAGCUGGAACCAUUAAAACCCCCAACCAAACACGGAUUUGCAUUUGUGUAUUAGAUGUUUCCAUAAUGUCGGCGUUCUAUUUUAUGCCGGUAAUUAAUGAGAAUGAACUAUUUGUGUGCUAUUUUAAUUUAGUGUUAUAAUCCAAUUCGUUAUUAAACAGAUAAUAUAAAUUUAGUAAUUUAAUACUUUUAAAUUCCAAACCUCAGUUUUAUCAUUCGGCGUCCAGUCCAAUCCUCCGCUCCGCCCCUUUUGGCAGGCCCGUAGACAAGGACGUAUGUGUCGAAAUUAGUUGACCCAUCAAAUCCUCAUAUUAGGGCCACAAUGGAAGCACGCAUUAUUUUAAUGUGUCGUCAUCCAUCCACAACAAAAGAAAAAAGCCUAAUCAUCUCUACCUGCAAAAGCGCGCAAUAGUCCGAGCCCAAUUAUUGCAGUGGUUUGCAGGUAGUGCCUAACACCCAAAGACAGACGUAUAAAGAGAGAAAUGAAACGAUCUCGAAGGCUGAUUGACAACAGGGGGCUCCCUAUUAAUCACGGUAACGGUAGAUAAUAAUGCCAAAUUCUUGACCUUUCUAACAAGCUUGGUUGUUGGGCCGUAGUAAUCAGGAAUCCUAUUGGAGGCUUAGAUACCACUUUGGAUUUUGUUUAUGGGAGUGGAGUCCAAUAAAGCUUGAGUGGUUCUCGUCGCAUGACCCAUUGGCGACCACUGGAUUGAGGUUGAAUCUCUUGCGCUAAUCACCUGUUACGUGACGAAUCAUAAAUGCUUUCACAUCAAUCUUCUGCUUAAUUACUCCAGCUCUUCUCCACCCACUAGCUGAGCUUUUUGACAUUUUAUUAUUAGUACUCUCUACUUCUGUGCAACUGUGAGAGUGUUAAAAUCAACAAUGGCUUUUUCCCCAAAUGAAAAUUAUAUGCGCUUGGUCGGUCAGUUGUGGAAGUGUAAGAAAAAUCUCCACCCAACCGAUCAAUUGGGAUCAAUUUGUCGGCAGGAAAAUACUGGUUUUGUUUUGCCAAUUCCUUUUUGUUUACAUAUUUUUGGCAGGAAAACAUAUUAUUGAUUUGCCUAACUGCAAGUAAUUCUCUAAAGAAAAUAGAAAUAUUACAAAUGUCGUAACUUUGUAAAUUACGGACUUUCUUAGCCAUUAACUUAUUCCAAGUCUAUCCUUAUCUUAAUUCCUUAUUCCUAUACUUUCACCCUCAUUUUAAAAUCUCAGAGCAUACAAAGCAGAGAUUCAGAUUUUGCUUAAAUGGUAUCUGCCUGUAAAUGUAAAUGCACCUACGAAGGCAAUAGAUGUGACCAAUUUCAAAAACACUUAAAGUUUUUUCAAUAUGGAGUGUAGCGAUUGACAAGCGCUGCUGGCAAAGGAGUGCACCCUGUUUAAUAAUUUAGUUCAGUACGUAAAAUUAAUAUGUUCAGAAGUGUUUGAUAACUAAAAAAUAGAACAUUUGUCCUGGGGGUAAUUAGUUAAGUGAUUCUGAAUUAUCUAAGCAAAAACAUGCUCUCAAAAAUAAGUGAUAAACCGUUCACUUAUCACUUAAUGUAAAUGCAAUAUUUAUUACUUUUAUUAUGGCAAAAUAAUUGUUUUGCUGUAUUAGUAUAUGCUAAUAAACUUGCUUUUAUGCUAGAUAAAUUUGUUAUAAUAUUUUUAUACUUAUUUUGUGGUUUUUAAUAUUUUAUUUUCAAUAAAAUUAAAUCAUAUAUCUUGCUAAUAAAGGAUACAUUUUAACAACAUCAUUAAUGAAAUGAAUAAACCAGCAUAAGGACAUAAAUUUUAAAUAUAUGAAAUUCAGCACUCAAUUGUCUAUUAUUACCCAAUAGAGACACUAUCAAUGUUCAGAUUCAAAUCACAAGUUAUAUUUUAUUCAGUACUUUACUAAUUCGGUGAUAAUUUAAUGAAUUCAGAUUCUAAAUCCUAAAAUGCAGAAUUUAAUCUUAUCAAGCGCACCCUUUAAUGAUACGGUACUUGAAAGUGCUUUGGUUGGUUUCAUCUUUGAUCCCGGGGAAAACAAGCAGCCGGUUGCAUCUUCACCAUUGAUACGACAAAAGAUUAGGACGCGCAAAGCAUCCGCUCGAGUACAUAGGACAAUAAUACAAUAUUCAUGUAUCAUUACAAUCUCAACCCAGAUGAAGUUAGAUUAUCAUCCUCCGAUUCUUCUUCUUCUUCUUCGUUUUUUUGAUAAAAGGGCAAAAAAGAGUCGUCAAGGCAAAACCAAAACCACAGUAGAGGUUUUGACAAAAGACCGGAUGAUUAUGGUAGUGGCUCUUCCAAUAUUUCGUCCACCAAAAAACCAAAGAUGGCAAUUUCAAUUUCCAACGCAGUUUCUUCCCUUUGCUCCUGAAACCUCUUCCACAGAUCAAACUCAGUUCUGAAAUCCAAUCCGACCAUCAUGUCAAUGGUAUUAGACUCCACCUCCUUCCAUGAAUCCAAUUUCUUGCAAACUCUUCCUACUACGAUUUCCUUGUUUUCCGAGCUCUUGAUUUCCCUCUUCUCCUCUGAAAUCAAGUCCGAAACUAGCCUCUUCAUGUCAGCUGGAAUUUUCCUUCGACUCGGGAGGCUUGAUUUCCUGCAUACAUCGCUGACAAAUGACUCGAGACUGCAGCCUCUGUACAAUGGCAAUAAGUCAUUCUCCAUACAUUUCUCUUCUUCCUCUGCUCGUUCUUCUUCAUUCUCAUCAUCAUCAUCGUCUAAUUGUUCCAUCAUUCUUUUCUCAAGUUCAACAGGAUCUAGCUCUGCAAGUUUCUCGAAUCUCCGAAGCUUGUACUGAAGCUGCUCCUUUGCCUCUGUGAGUUCAGCAAGAGUCGAAAAAAAAAAAAGAGUUAAAAAUUUUCAGAAACCAAUUCACUUUUUUUUUUUUUUUGGAACGCGUCCAAACAACAGAUAACCGGGCCAUCGAUUAGACGAUUUAAAAAAAAAAACAGACAUCGAAGUUCAUUGAAUAGGGACCUUCUAAAUCACCCACCAAUUUUAAAAAAAAAAAAAAAUUAGAGUUUUUCAAGAAUUGAAAAUUCUAGGUAAGGAAGACCUACUCUUGAUAAACACCAUAAAGCAGAGGCAAAGUCAGACAAUAUAGAAAAGCAGAGGCCAAAAGAAAAAACGUUAACAAUUCCAUCAAUCAUAAUUAUCAUAAACUUAUUGAAAAGGUUGGUUAUUGUAGGAUUAUCAGAAGACCAAUCGCCCUGGAAAAGUAGCAGCCGGUAAAUAUUAGUAAAUAAUUAAGACCACUAGGUAUUAUCUUUCCAUAUCUGCUGAAAAUUAUAAAUCCACCAAAUUAAAUCAAAGGAUGAGCCCAACCACCUAAAUGUGGGUCAGAGGAGUAGUAAUGAGCAUGUUAGCAAGCAAUGCCCUGUUCCUGUACUUGCUAAAAGGAACAAAAUAGGCCAUACAAACAGUAACAGAGCAGCAGAAAACAAAACUGACGUACAAAACAGCAAGAAGGAUGUACUACUACAUCGUCCGUCCCUCCUGAUCAUCAAUUAUGAAAUAGGUUCAAUGGAUCCCACAAAAUUGAAUUUAUGCAUCAAAAUCAGCAAAAUCUACCUGAUUACGACCUUACAAUCCCAUUGUAUCUAUCCACCCCCAAACGAAUUCCAAUAGCAACAUUAUAAAAGCAAAUUCAAUGCUUAAACGCGCCUAAGCCAAAAAGAGAAGUUGGGGUUACGUACUCUGUACAAUAGCAAAACUGCAUUCAAGAUCGUAAUCUUCUUCCUCGUCUUCUUCACCACGAUCCUCGUCUUCUUCAUCCUCAUCUUGGAAUGGAGGAUCCAAUACGGAUACUGGGCUGCACUGCUCUUUUUCAUCCUCCUCUUCUUCUUCCAAUUUCAAUUUAGCGCUAUUUUCAUAGCCAUUGCCUUCAUAUUUAUUAUUCUUCUUGUCCUUGAAGGGGGUUCAUGGAGACAAAUUUUCAAUUAUUUUACUUGCAGCUCAAAUUAUGCAACAAUCUCAAAAUUCACGCAAUUACCGUGAAUUAUCGGCCUUGAAAGUUGACUGCUGACUUUAAAACCAUGAAAGUCAAAAUUUGUAUAUCAAAAACGGUACCAAUUAUUAUUUUGGUCUCAGGGUUUAUUAUUCAUUUUGGUCUCAGAAAUAAAACAAAAUCUUUAUUUGUCUUUUGGCGAAAAAGAUUUGGGUGGCAGAGGUAACCUGAUCAUAAUGCAUACUGUAGCAACCAACACACUGACGUGCGACUAGCCAAAGGUAAAAUGACAUCAAUAACCCUUUUAAAACACAAAUAGCAUCUUCAGCUACUAGUGUAAUAUGUGGGCACAAAAAUUUAAGGGUAUCUUGGUCAUUGGCGGUCGACAUUCCGGCCACCAAAUCAGACUAGCAAGGUUGUUUUGCCGACAAAUAAAUUACAUGAAACUUCAUCAUCUCUUUUUUCCUUCCUUUUUUUUUAAAUUUUUUUACAACAGUCAAAAUGUUGUUCAUCUGAGUCCAAGAUCAAUCAAAAUUUACCCAGUUGUUUAGAUCAUUCAAAUACAGAACAAAAACUAUCUAAUUUUUCUUUUCCUGGAGCAAAUGUUAGCGAAUUUAAUAAUCUAUCUUUAGCUGAGGAGUUUAUGAUGUUGCUUCAAAAAUUGCUAGUUUUACUACUUUAAAAUGUGAAAAAAUUUUCUCCGACAUUCCAAAAAUGUUUGUCGUACGGAUCCAAGUAGAAUUGGGUGGUUUAGCUCUUGCGUAAAUAACAGCAGCAGUAUGUUAUGAUACCGACUACUACUACUACAAAACAAACUAAAUUCAGUAAGACAGGGACAACAAACCUCUUCCUUGCGGCGGCUGGGAGAUGCUGUCGGAGGCGAGAAAUCCGGUGUCCGACUACCACCAAAAGAGGGGCUUCUCUGGAGGGAAAAUCUAAAAGGGCUGGAGCAAAAAAGAUUAUCACAGGAUGCACAAGCACCAUUUAAACUCUGUUGAGCAACAAAAACCAUUUCAUGAUCAUUUAAGUCCUCCUCGGACCUACAGCCACUAGUAGAAGUCUCCAUGUCCAAAGACUUGUUGUCUUCAUUACUCUCCGACCAUCCUGCACUGCUAAGCCUACUAUUGUUGCAAGAACAAGAAAAUGCUCCAUCCUCAAUAUUGGUACUCUCCAUGGCAGCUACAUUUUCCUCCAUUUUCGCAUCGCUUUUUCGCGGAAUUUUGAAUUCAGCGUCUCGAAUGCCACCUUUCUUGUUCUUGUUUCGGUCCUUGAGUUUUUUAAGAAUGGAAGAAAAUAAGCCGAGGCCCUUGUUUCUAACCUGAUGUGAUUUGGGCUUUGCGAGAGAGGAGGAGGAGGAGGAGGAAGAAGAAGAAGAAGAAGGCUGCUGUUUCUGAAUCCUCAUUGCAGCUUCGAGAAGUAAGGCAGCAGUCCUGGCUGGGACGUGGGGGAAAACUGUACCGGUUUGAUUUCUUCUACAAGGACUCUUGGCCGGCGAAGGAUGCAAAUCAAGAAAAGGAGACAUUCUAACGUCCACCGGAGAACCAUGGAAAGAUAAGAAGCAAGCAUGCCUGCAUAAAUUGCUUUUGUUGACUGCUCUGGUUUCGAUGAUAGGCUUGCCCUUCUUGAGUUGUAGUGAUGUGGAGGCCGUUUUGGGAGGAGGAUUGUUGGACCUUUUAAGCAGACAGCGCCUAUCGGCUAUGUACUUCUUCAAGUGAAAGGGCUCUUGAUCCUCUUUCAGAAGUUCGUGUAAAUGUUUUUGAGCAGCCAUGGGAUGGGUAUAGAGAGAGCACCGGUACCACUACCACCACAGCGGAAAACCCUAUAAAAUCUUGAUGGAGAUGAUGAUGAUGCAGGGAUCAGUUUUUGAAUUGGGCUCGGAGUUUAAAGAGCUGCAUGAGAAAAGAACCAGUGGAAAGAUUGGAGAGGUUACAACUAGAAAAGGUGUGGUGUGGGGUUGGGUUUGAAAAGAGAAGGGGUAAUAUACGAAGUAGUAGUACUAUGAAGAGAGAGAGAGAGAGAGAGAGAUAAGGAAGGAUGGAACGGGGAGACUUCCGGAUUCAAAUCUUGGGUUCAAUUUGCAAGAUCGAGGCAAGCCAGGAUUGUGAUAGAUAAAUUAUUGAAAAGCUUAGUAGGCUACUAGAUUAAUGCAACAGUUGCAGCGGUAAGACGCUAUAGUGCUGAGAGAGAGAGAGAGAGAGAGAGCAUACUUUUAGCAUUGUUGUUUGGUUGUUGAAAUGGCUGCAACUUUUAAGUACCACGAAUUUCAGGGCAGAAUUGACCGCUGGAGGACGCGCCAAAGAGUGAACUCGGGCCAGAGUAACCCCGGGAGGGCGAGGGGUGGUGGGGGAUGGGUAUCUCUGUUCUCUUUCUCGCUCUGCAAAUUGCCUUUUUGUUUUCGUUGUUGUGGCGUGUACGUGGUUACCGUGGGAAUGGGCCAGAGCUGUGGUUGGGCCGCGAGGGCUGUGUAUAAUGGUGUGGUGGUUUGCCGUGAAACAAUGAUAAAAGUCGCUGCCUUUACGGGACCAGUAAGGACUUUCCACGUGCUUUCCCAGUCCACAACUAUACAUUAGGAGGUUUUAUAGUAGGGAUGAUCUGAGAAAUUUUUCCUAAUGUUUCUCAUAAUAUUACAUAGCACUUCUUAAGUUUAUUUUUUAAAUUUUAUUUACCUCCCUUGAAUUGGCAUUAUUGUUUGUAACAUUUUAAUCUUUUUGGAGGAAAUGCUAGAGGGAUAAAAUUUAUUUUCCAAUACUGCUUUAUGUUAUUAUACUUAUGAAGCUUAUAAUAGCGAUAAAAAAAAAAGAAAGAUUAAAGACUAAAUAGAUGAAAGCAUGAGAACAUUUAUAAAUGCAAUAACAAAUGAAUUUUAGAUAUACAGCAACUAUUACCUAAUAUGACGAAUGAUAUUUUAAGAAAAAGAUAUCCUAGAUACAUAUUUAGUUAUUAGAAUAUGACAUAACUUACCCUUAGAAUCAAAGACGGCUAUUUUGAAAAAAAAAAAAAAAAAAAGUGCGUAUGAAUAUGAUUAAUUAAUACCAACAUUUUUACUCUCUUAUUAUCUAGUAUAAAUUAUAGGGAAAAUAUGAAAUGGUUUGGAGGUUGAAGGGAAUUAAUUAUUCGUGGAGUCAAAUGGAUACUAGUAGGUUUAAUUGAGAAGAAACAAUAAUUUGUAUGUUGACGGAGUUGAGGAAGAAUUUUAACUCUGGCAUAUUUCUCGUGCAACAUUGCCACAUCACCCCGCCAACUUCAAAGUCAAUUAUCAUCACUUUUCCUUUUUUUUUUUUUUUUUUGUACCCAUAUGCAAAUGCAAACAAUGAUAGAAUUUGCAAAAUCCCGAGCUAAAUUAAGCUGUUACUCACUGUUGAAGUAAUUAAUGGUGUCACUAACUCAUUGGAUGCCAACAACCACCAACCAAUUGCGUAUUUCCGUUAACAACGACGAGCAGAAUAUUUUGCCGUACGCUGAACAGUCACACCGAUGCCUAGUCUACACAUCGAAACAGUUGCAGAUAUAUUCUCCAUGAUUCGCCGCCGCCGCCGGUGGUGCUAACGUAAACCUCGAUGCAGGAACAGCGAAAUACUACUACUACUGCUACCACUAAUUACUAGCAGUAUAAAAGGCUCCGCCUUUCAAAUUGAAUGUGAAUAUAUCGGCGAGCCGGUAUACAUUUCCGGAAUAAAGUGGUUUCCGUCUGAGCCGAAACAUGUGGGAAAACGACAAGAGGAGAGAUUUGACGAGAUCUUUGACGGUCAACUCGCCGUGUAUAUUGAGUUUCUUCAAUCCCCCAAUUGUUUACCAACGAAGAGGAAAGUCAAAUCACAAAAUGAAAAUUAAACCGAACCAAAUGCGCCUUCAUAUAAAUUUUAAAACAAAAUAGUGAUGAAAAUUAAAAUUUAAACUCUUUAACUUUCCAAUUCAUCAAUAUUUAAGAAGGAGCGUUUGAUUUAAGAGAGAGCAUUUAGUGUCAAUUUUUUAGAAUCCUGUCUUGAACCGGAAAAAGGGGAAAAAAAAUCUUUAUUUCACUGUUAAUUUAAAUGAGGGAAUACUCUGCAUUAUACGCUUUCAGUUCUCCUCUCAAUCAUUAUUAUUAUUAUUAUUAUUAUUAGCGACUAAUUCACCGAAUCCAAGCAGAUAAUUGAUGAUGCGCGCAUAAAUCGGACCCACAGUCCACAAACGAGAGAGGAUAUGAUGGAAAAUCAUUACGGUAGUCAAAUCCGAAUGUAAACAAUCAAAAAGUUUUGAUCGUAUAAGUUUCACAAUACGCACAAAAAAUAAAUAUGAUUCGAAGGAGUCAAAGGGGCACUCGAGCUGUUUUGAAGCUGCUUUCUGAAGGAUUGGCAGCAACAACAAUAUUAAUUCAGGUAAAGUACUUGCUACUCUACGCGCAAAAAAGAAAAAGAAAAAGACAUUUUACCACUACUAGCAUCGCUCACUGUCCGUCCAUGCGUGAACGUGGCUUUGAAUACAGGUCGUACCUCCUCCUCAUGUCCAGUCCACUUCACUUGCUUACACCUCUGCUUUAAUUCAAACUAAAGAAUUCUUAUUUUAGUGUACCCAAACUACCUCUGCUUUUAUUUUAUUUUAUUUUAUUGAAUUGAAAUGCUGCUGCCGCUGCUGCUGCUGCUGCUGCUGCCGCUACCACUACCAGUGCAGUGCAGUGCGGUGCAGUGUUAGUACUUGGAGAGAAAAAGGAUACUACUGUAGUAUAUAUGCAUAUAGUAUCAAUUAAUUGAUUGAUAGUUGUUGUUGCAUUUGGGACAUGUGACUUGGAGACUGUGACGCGUGACCCCCACCCUUCCCGAUUUAACAGCUUCGACUUUUUUUACCAGGAAACAAAUUUUUUUUUUUUUUCAUUAACAUACUUUGAGAAUGUUUGUUUGUAUCUCUGAGGUUGUUGGGUACUCCAUCUCCUCCUUUUCUUUUUGAACGUGUCCCGUUGAUAGUAAUCAUCGGCUCUGUUUGGAUUGUGAAUUAUUUGAGAUAUUUUUACUGUAAUAUUUUUUGUGAUGUGAUGUAUGUGAGAUAAAAAAAUAAUUGAAAAGAUAAAAAGGUGCGUUGGAAAUUGUAAUGAUGAUGUAAGCAAAUAAAUUUUGGCUAAUAAUUCUCUAUCCAAACAAACCCAUCAUUUAUUAUCCCUUCCACUUUUUGAUAAUUAAGUGACGCACCAAUCUCCUUUUUUUUUUUUUUAACUCUCUCCUUCCUAUAUUAAUAAUAGAUUUAAUAUUUUUCAUUUCAAAUUAUAAUUUUUUUAAAACAUUCUUAUUUAAUGUAGAUUAUUAUUGAGUACAAUUUAACUCAUUUAAUACAAAGUUAAUUAGUCAUAUUCAUUUAAUGCAUGAGUGUUUUAGCAAGAUAGUAGUGAAUUCGAUUUAUUCUUCUGGUAAAAUUAAAUUAGUUUUUCUUAAAUUAUGUGAAAAAAAAUUAAAGAACGUCUCCGUUGGAAAAAACACGCCCGGUUGCUAUUUUCUAGUUGGUGUCCGUCCUUUUUUACAGCCGAACAUGAAUGUUAGUGGUGUUGUGAUUGUAACAGCGUUAGAUUGUCCUGAUUCAUCCUGUCUUGUAGUUGUCAAUCAACUUUCUUUUGAACUUUCUUUGUUGUCAAUGAACGAAAACUCCCAACCCAACGUAAUCACGCUGUAGCCUGCAUUUUACCCCCAACCCACAUUCCUUUACCGUCUGCUUAAAACAGAGAGUAACUACUUAAUACCAGUAGUAAAGUUAAGGUUGUGUUUGAUUGCAUUUUUCAUGAUUUUUCAUGGAAAAAUUACUGUAACGAUUUGAUGUAUGUGAGGAAAAAAGAUAAUAGGGAAAUGUGAUCACGAAAAAACAACGCAAUUGCAUUCCGGCUUCUCUUCAAAAUUCGCAACUCGCAACACAGCUGUCACUCUGGGGACUGCCGUAGAACUUACAAAGACAAGCUAAGGACCUAUCCUGUUUUGACACGCGGACGAUUUUUGGCUGUCCGUUGACAACAAAAAAAAUAAUAAUAAUUGAAGAACAAAAGACAUGUACUAGUCACCGAAGCCGAAACCAUAUCAUGAAUAAGGGACAGAAACAAUUGCCAGUUCGAUCAUUUUUCCGCACGAUGUCAUUUGAACAAAAUUUAAGACACGCUUGACUAUCUGUACAACAUUAAAACAAUACUGUAAUAUUCUGUCAUUAUUUAUGUGGAUUCUAUAAACAAUAAUUACAUAUUUGUUAUCAAAUUCAUGCACGCUUACUUAUUCAGCAGCUUAAAUAUUACAUAAAAUAAAAUAGAGGUUAAAAACAUCCAAAAUUAAUAGUUUGAGGGCUCGCUGGAGGAUUUACUCUAAAAUAAACUUGUGAUGGGUUUUUAGUAAAGUCUGGUCGAAGAGGUAAUAACAGUUUGCACGGUGGUCUAGACCCAGGAUAAUUAGCUCACCUCGAUAAAUUCAUACGUGCCACAAAGUUUUUUUUUUUUAAAAAAAAAAAAAAAGAAGAUGAUACUGCCAAAAGUACGUAUCCUACUUUCAAAGUAUUUAGAAUAUACAAUUGCCUGCUCCGAAGCUUUGUCUCCAAUUUCUAGAAAGAGAAAAGUAAAAAGUAGAAGUUACAUAAAGAUAGAGAGAGGAGGCGAAAGUGCAGUUAUUUAGUUACAAAAAUUUGGGUACUACAUCGAAGUGAUCUCAAAGUUUCGGCUAAUUACUCACAAUAUGGUUGAAAAAAAAAAUUUCGAACAUCUAUUGCUCUGACAUUAGUCCGGUGCAAAUCUAUGGAUGCCGGACUGACACGGCCCGCCACCCAAAAGUCAGUCAAAUUUUUUUUUUCAGCUUUGACAUCCUUACAGCGGAUUUUUUUUUUUUUUUUUUUUUACAUAUAAAGUUAUCGGCUGUCGGGCUGACAAGGCCCGAUAGCUGACAGCUUCUAUAAAAAGCUGACUGGUGGGCUGAAAGAGCUUUUUUUUUUUUUUUAUCUUAAUCAUAUUUGAUAUCCCAACCCUUUCUUUCAUAUUUACGCCUCAAUUAUUUGAAAUAUGAAACUCAAUUAAAAAAUAAAAUCUACCACAAUAUUUGACAUGUACAAAAUUCACUGAAUUAUGUUGAAAAUUUCACCCAUUUUCCAAUACAAUAAUUUCACCCUUUUUUUAUUAAAAACUUAUGUCGCUUGACGUACUAAAUCCGACAGUCUUUUAAGUUAAAUGAUGUUUCAAAAUUCGAACAGCAAAAAUAGAUGAAAAUAGGUUUGUUAAAUCAAUAAUUACUUCUAUAAGAUGUUAAACUAAAUAAAGGCCGUUUUAAAUAAAAAACAAAAAAUUGGACUGACUGUCGGGCACUCUCUGGCUAUCGCCCGAUAGCCAGCUUUGUGCAGAAGUUGUCAGCUACCGGACCUUGUCAAUCCGGCAGCCGAUAACUUUAUUUAAAAAAAAAAGUUUUUCCACUGCUGAACUGUCAACGGUGUCAGAAGGUUUGAUUGGAAUUUUGGGUGUCGGGCUAAUUCGUACCAUGGAUCUAUCAGAGCCAUGGAUGUCCGAUUAAUCUUUUUUUCGUCCAUAUUCUAAGCAAUUAGCCCAAAGUUUCAAACAAUGUAAAUCUGGCUUCUGAUACCUCAAAAUUUUGACCAAACAAGCACAACUGAUUGAAUUGAAUUCAGUCAAUUACAGUGCCAAAUUUGUUUUCUUCAAUAUUUUGGUAACUAUUUCGGUACAGUGCCUAAAAUGCCUAAACUUUGAGAAACAAAACUGCAAUUUUGUGGAGGAGAUAUCUGUUCAAAGAAUUCUUGAACCUGCACACAAGUUCUUGUGGAUGAGGAAAACUAAUUGGAAGAUGCAAAUCAAAGUAACCGACUGCUAGAAUUUAAAAGCACAAUUUUUCUCCAAUGAUCAGUUCCUAAAAUUAUUUCCUUUGCUGUGUUUUAUUGGCAGACACGGAAAGUUCUUGGCUGGUCAUUAGCUUAGCUAUAUAUAUAUAGUUGACGACUUGUAGCUUCCAAUUCCAUGAGUUAGAAGUCGCACCAAAAGUUGCGGCAGAGUGUUUCUUUUCUUCCUUUCAAAGCAGAUUCAGAUCACUAUACAAUUUUAGUUAGGAACUAGGAUGUAGGAGACAGCAAAGACUACUGGAAACAAACUCCUAUGAACAUGUUCAAAGUUCCUUUUACCCUAUAGUACCCCACCCCCCUCCAAAAGACCAUAGAAGUAGGAUAAUUUAGCACCUGGACCCUUUUACAUGCGCUCUACAUCUCAAAAGUGAAAAACUUUUAUCUUGAUUGCAUUUCAUUAUUGAGAUUGGAUGCUCAGCAAGCUGGACGUGCGACAAAAGCAGCUGCUUUUGGAGUACCAAAUACAAAUUAUAACUCCAUUUAACCACAGAAAAAGGUAAAAGCUGCCCGCACUGGUCAACUGGAGAAUGCUGCUGCUGCUUUAACCUAUCAACUGAAUUCCAUAUGGGGGGCAUAUCUACAUGUAGAGCUGGCAAUUUGUCCCAAGUCCCAAUGGGCUACCCAUGCCCAAAGGAACUUUGGGCGGGAUGGAUAUUAUAAUUUGGUAUUGGGUUUAAGUUGGGACACAUCCCAACUAUACCCAUUAAUGAAUGGGAAAGGAUGGGAAAUACUUGGGUACCCAUUGGGCUCAAAUGGCAAGGGCUCCGUUUGGAUUAGCUGUUUUUGGUAGGUGUUUUUGAAAUAUUUUAUUGUAGCCGUGUAUAUGAAAAAUUUUUACUAUAAAAUUUUUUUGAAAUAUUUGAUAUACUAAUAUGGAUGGGAUGUUUCUUGAGUUAUUGUAUAUUACUGUAACAUUGUAUUUGAAAAACUUAUUUUUUGAAAAAAUAGUCAAUCCAAACGGUGUCUUAGAUUCAAAAAUUAUCUUUAACAAUUUUUAUAGUCAUACCAGCGAAUAUAAUCUAGUAAUCUUCUUAGUCAUUAUCCACAAGAAUUUCCAGCAUUUCAGUUAGUUUAGACCUGUCAUCCUUGGACAAUGAUGAGGAUAAAUAUUCAACAUCCUAAGGACCUUGGCCAUCUUGAUAUAUGUUGGAAUAUGGCUGUAUAUCUAUCUUUUCCUUUAUUUGUUAAUCCAAUUUUUGGUGGGAAUCUUGAGUAUAAAGCACUUGCAUGUUUAUUUAAUAAAACUAAAAGAAAUUUAAUAAAUCAAAAAUAUUAAAAUUAUAUAAAAAAUAAAAAAUGAAUUAAAGGAAAAAAAAUAUGUAGAAAAUGAAUUUGGGUAUUGGGCGGGAUGAAUCUAAACCCAUCCCAAAAUGAUCCCGCCCAAGUUAGUCCCAAAACACAUAUGGGUAAGGUUGGACCCAAACCCAUAUGACUCGGUUCCAUCUCAAACCCAAGCAAAUCCCGCCCAUUUUGCCACCUCUAUCUACAUGCAAAACGCAGAGAGGUGCGGUACUGGUUCUAAGGGCUCAGUAAUCGGGAGGAACUGUCCAUGCAGGUCGCUAGUUAUAUCCUAAUUAUAUUUCCUUGAUGUUUAAAUAUUUCUCUCUCGUGCACCUCUACGUCUGCAAUCUGCAAAGAGGAUCCGAUGCCGGAUACAGUAGCUUGUUGUAUUUAUGGUUUAAGGUCACGGUUUAGGUCGUGGCCGCCAUGUAAUUGUUACAGUUGUGUGGCGAGAUACAUAUUUAUUGCUAUAUAAAUUAUUCACAAAAAUUACAUAUAUUGUACUUUACACAAUUAUUUUUUAUUUAUUUUAAAAAAUACAUAUUUUUAACUAAUUUAUAAUACACUAUGUCUACGAAUUUAAUAUUUUUAUGGGUCUUUGAAAUAUUACCUAAAAGAAUUGUUAGAAAAAGCUAACUAUAGAUGUUAAAUUGAUAUUCACUAAUUUUUAUUUAUUUUAAACUAUAAUAAUUAUUGGGUAGGCAUAUUUUGUAUGUGCCAUAUAUUAUGUAGAUGUAAUCAAAUUGUAGGAUAAGUUCAUAAGUCAAUUUUAAAACAUUUAAAGAUCAUGAUACAAUGCAAAAAGUUGCAGUUUUCAAAGCCAAUUCUUUAUUGGUAUUUCUUGCUUGGAAUUGAUCAACAUUUUCUUUAAAGUACUAGUAUGGAGAAUUCAAAUCACGAAAUCUCACUUAUACUCCUUCCGUCUAAAUCACCUGAUCCAUCCCUCUUCCCUCAUUUCAAAGUCAAUUCUUUAUUGGUAUUUUGUUGACGAAUAGCAAGAGUAAUUUGUUGAAGGACAGUGAGAGUAAUUUUAUUUAAGCAUAAAAAUAAAACUAUAAUUAUAUAUAUAAAUAUAAAAAUUUUAGUGAGGUCAGUAUAGACAAUUCCCUCACAGCCCCCACACUUUUUAUCCGCCUCUACGUUUUUUUUUUUUUUUUUUUUUAAGCGUCUGUCAGUAAUUGUGUGCGUAAUUUUUUUCAUCACGUGGCAGAAGUAAGUAGGGUUGACGCCUAAAGAGGGAGUUUGGAUGGAGGGCGCAAAGACGCCUCCACGUUGACGGACCAACUAGUCCAACUGGUACAUUAAGUAUGAAGGAAAUAAAUCAUCCAUGUUCGUGUUGUUUGUCCUUUUCUGCGUUUAUUUACUUGAUUAAAUUUCUAUUUGUCGUCGGCAGCGUAAACGAAGCUUUAAUUAUCCAUGUACUUAGCAUCCUAAUUAAUUGCAACCAAAUUCAACCUAGUUUUUUUUUUUUUUUAAAUGCAACCUAGUUAAAUCUAUGGAGCUCUUGCAUCAGAUUCUUUGACUAAGUGCCGUGUUUUAUGUCCUCAUUUCACUUGAUCUGGAACUAAUUAAAUCUGGAAAAGACAACGAGGGACUCGUGAUGAUUCGAUUGGUCCUAUCCAAACAAUUUUAAUAUUCCAAAUUUUCAAUUAUUUCUACCAUAAACUGUGGCGCAUUGUACAAUGAUACUCAGAAAAUUAAAAAGUGGAAAAUUGACGCUUGCAUCAAAACGGUAAAAUCAAGAAAAGAAAAUGUGAUUGAUAAUUGUAUAAAAAAAAAAUAUUCAUGGAAAUGCGAAUCUUGUUAAAUUAGCAAAUCUAAAUAGGGUUUAAACUCGAAGAAAUUGCUCGAUAUUCUAACAACAACUGACGUUUUAUAUAUUUUGCUGGUUGAUGUCAUCCAAGCAAAUUGAAAUGAUAACUACUUCCAAAUUUUGUUCGCAAUAUGUUCUACACCAAAAAAAUCUAAUAAGAAAGCAGGUUCUUCACGUUUUGCUUUUCAUUUUUAUUAAUUAUUGAUAUUUGAAAUAUUAUUAGAUUAUAAUUUCCAUCAACAUAACGGUUUCAAGUCAUGUCCAUGUGGUCCUCCGUUUAGUCAUACUAUCCGCAUGAACAAUAUAACUAUUAAUUUAAGAUUGAACCUUUUGUGGUCCUAAAAAUUCAAUUUCUUAUGUAAAAAAGGGAAAAAAAAAACAAUAAAAAGAUUAUAGUGAAGCUAUUCGUGUUCUGUUUAACAAGUCCGAUCCUCAUUUAAUUUACCCACAUCUAUUGCUGCGUUCUUCAAGAAAAAGAGAAGAAGUGUACGUGUUAAUUUCUUCGAGUCAUGCAUUCAGCGGAAAAGGGAAACUAACGAAAAAUGCCAAAGCUUAAAAUAUUUUAAUUGAUGAAAAAUAGGAUAUCUGUGGACUUUUUUUUUCCCCCUUUUUUAUUUGCAAAUUACACGUGUUUAGCAAACACAAUUCAUAUAUAGUGAUGCUGUAUUGUAAAUUUCUCUACAUGUUUAGAAUUCACGUACACAUGUCACUGAAUCGAGUUUCAAAUGAAUUUAACUCAGAUCUAACAUAAUUUUUAUGGGUUUGAAUCCGAAUUUGGAUCUCGCUAAAUUUAAUGAAUUUGAGUCUGAAACAAGAGAAUUCAAUACAAAUUCUAUCUAUUGUCGCGUGCCUAGAUAAUAUUUCAUCUCCAAGAGAAAUGAAAUAAAAGGUAAUUAAUGAUUUCCCUAUUUGAAUAAAAAGCCAAUUUUUGAUGCAGGGCUGGCUAUGCUACCCUCGUGGGCCCUUUAAAAAUAGCAAAAAGUAAAAAAAAAAAAAAAAAUCAAAGAAAAAACAAUAUUACUUUUUGUCUCAUUGCACAAACAAAUGCACCGUCAUUCAGUGCAUUCAUCCCUACCAAAAUCCGGUGGUCUAUUUCCCACGUGUACGCUGGUCAAUUCUGUCCGCGUGUCAGAAGAUGUGGGAGAUUUGCUAGGACCUCCGCGAUACAGUUUGGUCUUUUAUUGUCCACACUCCACACCAAGGUCAAAGCGGUAACCCUCUACACAUUGGAUUCUUUUUUCCCAAAUUUGUACUCUUGCACCAGUCACAGCGACAGCGGUGCUUCCUUUUCACUUUUCCCUGCGCCAUUUUCUAUUUUGGCCAAUUGAAAUAUAUAUAUAUAUAUAUUUUUUGAUUGGGUGCUUUGAGGCCAACAAUCGCACGCGCACCAGGUAUGUCAAAACAAAACUUUGCUGCUGCUGCUGCACGAUGUUCAUAUCAUAUACGAUUCCCAUUUGAGGGUGAAGACUCCGAGAAUUCUUUGGAAGUAUUUUACUGCUGGCUGGGUGUAAUCUUGUGCUUUAUAGUGACUAUUAAGUGGAUGGUUGUUUGAGGAUAUGCAUGGUUGUUUUUUAUGAUCAAGUUUAUGAAUUUUUUUAGAUCCGUCGUAGCAUUUGAUUUAAGAUCCGCGUGAAUUUGUGUUAUAUUUGCUGCUAUUAGUGAAGAUAUGGAAUAAAAACGUACUUUCUUAUUUUUAUUUUUAUUUUUUAAAAAAGAAAACUACAAGGUAAGACCCGGUGGCAGCACUUGGAAUUCUCGGUGACAUGUUUUCUAUACCAAUCCAAAAUUACCUAUAAUAUUGUACCAAGUGUUCUGUUAUUAUUUACACUUGUGUUAAAUCAAAUCAAGUUGAAUUAUUAGAAAAUUAAAGUGUAAAUAAUAACAGGACACUUGGCGCAAUAUUAUAGGUGACAUUGAAUUGACAUAGAAAAACAUGUCACCGAGUAUCCCAAGUGUGAUGGCAGGGGGUGCAGUAGAGUUAAAACUCCAAGUCAAACUAAUCAACCUGGCUAAGAUGCAAGAAGUAUUUUUUCCUAAUUUAGGCAGUAUUUUUUCUUGAAGAUUUUUUUUUUUUAAAAAAAAGAGAGAGAGAAGAGCAUUUUUUUUUUUUUCAAUCUGUGCUUUAUCUAACAUUCAGAAAGGACGAGGCAGAACAACAAAAUAAAAACGUUUGCACAAAUUCAGAUGCAAGAUUAUUUUAUAUAUUUUAUGCGAACCCACGGCUCUCUCGUAGCAGACAUGCAAAUCCUCCGUAGAAUAGCAAAACGACAACGCACUUUGUCCUCACACACUCUCUCGGACAUAUAUGCACACGUUCAAUCUAAUGUAGCCGAUCGAUUCGACCAUAAACGGGGUCUUUUCAUGUAGUCAUCAUGAGGUCGUGGAUGGCUUUUAAAAUUCUUUUUCAUUAUGAAAUUUAUGAUUUGGAUAUAAUAGCUGGAAAAGGGAAGAACGUAAAGAGAUUUUCAUUGACAAGAAAAGAGCGCAAAAAAAAAAAAAGAAGGAGAAAUUUCUACCAUGCGAGCAUACAUUUGCAUCCCCUUAAAAAAUUAGAGGAGGAAAAAAGCAGCAGACUACCUCCAUCAGUCACCCAAAUUGUGAUAUGAACGUGUUUGGAGCACAAAAAUUUGGGAGGAUGAGAGAAAUUGACAUCCACUCGAUCGUGUUACAAGGCAAUUACGAUUCUUCAUAAAGUAUGGGACGGUUGGCUUGUAUAGGAAUGCCUAUCCAUACCUCAUGAUCUAAUGACAGAAAUGGUACCGUUGGCGGCUAGUGCCACCUGACCAAACGAGCAUUUUUUUAGUUUAGAGCAAGCAGUUGCUUAGACCAUGCUCCACUAAUCCGUAGUAAUUACCCUAAUCUAUAUUUUUCGUGCCAUUUUGUCAUGGCCGUUGACCGGUAUGUUCACAUGCCAUUUUGUCUCUAGUUCGAAACCACCUUCAAUUAUUCUUGCAUUAUUUCUCGGGGUCAAAGCCGUGAGAUGCUGCCAUUUCAAUAAAUUAAAGCAGCGUCAGAGUUUAAGGAAGAACAUCUUGACUGAGUGCGAAGAAGGGUUUCAGAGGAUACUUCACGUCAACUGGUAAUUAUUGGAAACAAAAUCUGAAUUUGGAGCUCUGGUGCUAAUUAAAACUUGGCUCAGUGAUUUUUGAAGACAAAUGAAAUGAAGUACUACGACCCCCGCCUUCAGGUGUUGUCGGUAACAAAAGAAAUCAAAUGGAUUGCAAUGGCGCAACCACAUUCGAUCACGCAAGGCACGGGACGUCAGACUAGUUUCAAAUGUGCUCUUUUUGUUUAGUUAAAAAUGAUAAGAAUCGUAUAAGUUUUAAGAUUAGCACUCAUGCUAUACACAUCACACUAGAUGAGGAAAUAUCAUAUUUCCUCGGUAUCAAGUACACUGACUGUAAAAUUAACUCGAUUCUUUGCUCACAAUUGUAUUGCUUUUGAAAUUAAUAUUAUCAAAUGUCGUUUCGAAAAAAAAAAAGAUUGCAGUGACUCAAAUAAACAUAUUUUUAACCCCUCGAAAGAGAGCAACAUAUUUUUGUGGAGAUAGAGAAGUCCAUUUCGAUUGGAGGUAGAAUUUCCCGGUCGGACCCAAAGCGUCGCUUAGAAACUCUUUUUUUUUUUUUGAGUGAUCCUCUGCUGGCCUUUCUACAAAAGUCCUUGGGGCGCUGUAUUUGAGAGCGUCUCCAUCUCUAAAGCCCAAAUCUUAUUGGACAAAGCCCCUUUCUUUAUAGUUUGAUUGAACCGGGCGGACCUGAAACCGUGCAAUUUAUCAUCGUAUAAGCACGUCUGGCUGCCUGGCCAACAACUCACUCUCAUUGUAUCCCCUAAUCCUGCUACACUAUUCACUACAUUUAAAGUUGAUCAAAGCCUUGCACCAAUCUCUUUUGAGUUAAGGCACCGAUCUCAACCUUGCUUUCCUCCCAAAUUCCCAGAGUUCUGAAAAAAACCCAAGGCUACGGUUAACAGGAUAUUGAGUCUCGCAUUAAGUCACUGUAGAAGUCUGGACAUCCACAUGAAAAAGCCCAAGCAUCAUGGGCCUGCAUCAUUUCCCGGCAGUGACAUAGAUGGAGCUUCAUCAGUGGGCUCACUAAACCACCUUUCUGCCAAUUGCUAGAUUUUUUUUUUUUUUUUUUUUGGAAGUAGGGUGAAUGAAAGGUUUGAAUUUAAAACCUCUUACCUACCAUCCUUCCUACCUUACUAUCCAACCCAACCAUCUUUUUUUUGCUAGAAGUAAGGUUUUUUUUUUAGUUAUUAUCACUUUACUCCCUUAAACUAUAUCACUAUUACCAAUCUACCCCCUAAUAUAAUCACUUUACUCUCUAAUAUUGUGUUUGGAUAGAGUAUUAUUUGAAAUAAUUACUGUUGUAUUUUUUAUGAUGUGAUACAUGUGAGAUAAAAAGGUGAUUGAUAAUAUAAAAGAGUGAGUUGAGAAUGUGCUUGUGAUGCAAGUCAAAUAUUAUUAUUUGGCAAAAUUGAUCUAUCCAAACAUAAAAAAGUAUUUUACCCUAUUGUUAAUCUAAAAAGUAUGUUAAAAAAUGUUUAAAUGUAUUAACCUUUUUUUAUAUAUAAUUAAAAAUAAACAAAAUGGAAUAAUUAUUCUUCCUUUUUUUCACUCUAAGAUUUCAAAAACAUAAAAAUAAAAAUUUUCAAAAUUUUUCACACUUUUUAAUACCUGCAAAGAAAGAAAAUAAGGAAGAAUAUACUAUUAUCGUAUUACUUUAAUGUCCUCGGGAUUAGGAUUGGAAUUGGAUAAUAAAUAGAAAAAUAAAAUAAUUUUAAAAUAAUAAAAAUAUUGAAUUCUUUCUUGUUUGUAUUAAAACAAAGAAUUGAACUCUCUCUCUUCCUCCCCUAUUUUUCUAUUUUUUUGAAUAUCAAUAAGAUUGUCAAGAAGAAAGAGAUUAAUGUUUUGAUUUUUUUUCUUGAUACUAAAAACGAGAAGAGCCACUCUAAAUUUUUUAUUAUUUUUAUUAUACAAAAGAGAGGGUACUAUAUUCUCAAGUUUUUCAACUAGUCAAGUUGAUUUAUUGAUGGGAUAAAUUGUCUAAAAAAUAACUAUAGGGGAUAAAUUGAUAAUAAGGCUAUAGUUUAUGGGGGUAAAGUGAUAAUAAUUUUAAAAGUUAAACAUGUUUUAUCACUCGAAUUAAUAAACUCCAUUAAGUUUGAUCGUUAAUUUUGAGGGUAAAAUGACUACAAAUAAUUUUAUGGGAAGAAAUUGAUAGUGAUGUCAAAUGUUAAGAGAGUAAAGUGAUAAUAACCCUUUUUUUUGGGCGAGGGAUUAGCACUUCAGCAAUGUAAGUUGGGCCUUUUGUUUGGCGGCAAGAGUCGGUUAAUGCUGAGGUUGACUCUUAAUUUUCCGAUAAUUGUAAUUCUUUGUAAGGGCUUCUUCACAAGAUGCAUAACGGCCAUUCAUAUGGCGAUAAUAUAACUUCCACUUAGCCGGUGCCGUACCGACUAUCUUUCCUCUAUAGCCGUUACGAUGCACAAACAACAUAGUACACAACAGCGGCCUUUGUUUUUGAACCAAAGUGCACGGUCCCUUUCUUCUAUAUCUCCUCAUGCUCCCGGAAAAUAAAUGUUGGUCAUUCUACGCGGACUUGAAAGCAUUGGUCAGCUUUAAAGCGGUCCAUUUGGGUCGAAUUUUAGAAUUUAGAACAAGCGGACCAAAAAAUUCUAGUCUGUUUUGGAACAAGAACAGUAACCUAUAUGUGUCUUGAGAAAUUUUUUGACCUGAUCAAGUCUGUUUAUCACCUUUUUUGUAAAUGCUUUUUUGUAAAUGCAAGGAAGGAAGGAAGGGAUGUUUGCAUUUUUCGAAACGCACACAGCACCAACCGGAGGGGCCACUCCGUGUUUCCCACUAUUGUUUUAUUUCGGUUCCUUCUCUGAGGGAGUGACUAGUGAGGGGUGGACCAAAGGCUAAGGCACUCGCCGCACAAUUAUUAGCAUUGGGGAAUGUUUCAGCUUUGUCUGUCUUAUCCACUCUAACUAGUAAGACUUACAUGCGGGUUCCUCAAUACCCUUGCCUCCUUUUCUUAGUUUAGACAGAAGUUUAUUCAAAAAAAUAAAGAAGAAAAUUCUUUUAGGGUAGUAGUUGGAGUGGUUAUAACAGUUGACCAAGCAAUCCGCAAAUUAAUCAUAUUCUACUCCUCCUUUCUUUAUAAAUAUCAAAAAACUAACGAUAGCGCUGCAUAUGUAGUAAUAGUACAACCAAAUAUGUUUAGCGGAAAGGGGCACCUGCAACCUUUCCCAACGGUUUUGAUCACUUUCAAUCGUGCGUAAUUUUAUUUGCACAACGUAUAAUUUUAUUAUAAAAUUUUGUGAGUUCCACAUAAUGUGAAAAUCGAUGCAUAAUUUGUGAUCUGAAUAGUACAAUUUAUUGAGGCCAAAUCAUGGCUAUUAACAGCUGAUGAGGAUCGCUCCUGCCCCGUCUCAUUAGCUUAGCCUUGGAAGAGUAAUUGAUUGAUCGUUGCACCUGCCAAGCUCUGACCCGGACACCUGUUGGUAAAUCUUUCGUCAUGAGAUGAAAUCAAACAACCAACACAUUGAAUGCGUGCUCAGAAUCCUCAAUUGGGAUAGAGAUUGAAAAAACUGACGGAUCCCAUAAUUAUUGUGACUACGUAUAUUUUUCUUAUGCUGCUACUGAUGCCAUAAAUUGGCUAAUCUCCAUCCUUUUUCUAGCCUUCCUUUCGUUGCAAAGCUCAUCAUUAAUUAGCAUUAUUGUACGUACGUACAUGGAGACAUCUAAGCUAGUAAACCAGCAAUCAUUCAGGUUCAGUGCAGGUGCAGGAGCUGCAUACCAGCAAAGCACCUGGCUGUCCCUCUUGUCCGUUUGUUGCCCGAAUUCUAACGAUCAUUUUUCGACAUCAGAUAUACACCAAAACCCAUUGGCAGUUUGCCAUCCUUAUCCGUCUCAACGUAAAAUAGACCCCUAAACCAACCCCUCUUGACUCGCUCCAUUCUUUAGUUACUGAUUUUACCUUUAACCGGUCCCUUGUACCUUUCGGCCUUCAUUCAUAUGCCACACAGAUUAGGAUGACGCAUGAAGCUACACGUAACUUCUUGCAAGUCUGAUUAAGAUUUUUCUGGGUACCACAAGCCAUGCUGGAUAUCAACUUAUAGCGUCCAAGGCAAAGAGAGGCAGGGAAACAAAGAAAGACCCUCAUCGCCCCACCCCCCAUUCAAGGACCACAUCAAUUUGUGUCCUUCUCCAACAGACUACCCUGUGAAAUUGCAAUUGCAGAAUUUAACAUCAGAUGAGACAUGUCAGUAGGCUAGCCAAAAACUGUCCAUGCACGCGUUCAAUAACCAUUGAUGAACAACAACUAGCUGAUAAUGAUCGUACAAGCACCAACUCGGCCGCACAUGCAACUGUCAAUCAACUUGAAAGAGAUUUUAGAAACAAAUAUCCACGUCCCAAUAAACUGGAACUGGAUUCACCGCCAUACUCAUCACGGCACAGGCUACCAGUUCAAGCUUUUGAAAGAAGGGCAACCAAAACCUUGAGAAAGUAAGAGAGUCAACAGAAGAAAAUGCGAACAUUAUUUCUUCCCUGAACACUACUACACUCUAUUAACACUUGACACGAGACAAGAGACGAGUUGAAAUGGUACGCAAAAAGGAAAAAGAAACGAAAGUGGAGAAGAAUGCAAAGUAGAGACCUGUUUUACAAUUUUAGUCACAAACCUGUUCACUGGGGUGGGUAUAUAUCCCUGUCCUACAAUCAGAAAGGUCCAUCAAGAACUACAGACGACGAAAGCAGAAAAUACAACCAAACUCCAAGCAACCGUGCAUAAACAGAAUGUCUUCCUUAGAAUACAUCACACAAACCUAUAUUAACUAGUUCUUGACCUUGGACUAUCUUAACGUAUUGUUUCUAU
Molecule: long non-coding RNA, 39627 nt
Filed under: Coffea arabica (coffee)
Lineage: Eukaryota; Viridiplantae; Streptophyta; Magnoliopsida; Gentianales; Rubiaceae
Description: long non-coding RNA (CARA_LNC003950)
Source: RNAcentral